This 531-nucleotide ribosomal RNA is filed under the name Alteromonas sp. RNAcentral describes it as "bacterial SSU rRNA". It matches the Rfam family "Bacterial small subunit ribosomal RNA", at positions 115 to 648 of the family's 1533-position model. The record is from RNAcentral. Lineage: Bacteria; Pseudomonadati; Pseudomonadota; Gammaproteobacteria; Alteromonadales; Alteromonadaceae.
GCUUGGGAACUUGCCUUGAGGUGGGGGAUAACAGUUGGAAACGACUGCUAAUACCGCAUGAUGUCUACGGACCAAAGAGGGCUUCGGCUCUCGCCUUUAGAGAGGCCCAAGUGAGAUUAGCUAGUUGGUGGGGUAAAGGCUCACCAAGGCAACGAUCUCUAGCUGUUCUGAGAGGAAGAUCAGCCACACUGGGACUGAGACACGGCCCAGACUCCUACGGGAGGCAGCAGUGGGGAAUAUUGCACAAUGGGGGAAACCCUGAUGCAGCCAUGCCGCGUGUGUGAAGAAGGCCUUAGGGUUGUAAAGCACUUUCAGUUGUGAGGAAAGUUUGGUGGUUAAUACCCAUCAGAUGUGACGUUAGCAACAGAAGAAGCACCGGCUAACUCCGUGCCAGCAGCCGCGGUAAUACGGAGGGUGCGAGCGUUAAUCGGAAUUACUGGGCGUAAAGCGCACGCAGGCGGUUUGAUAAGCGAGAUGUGAAAGCCCUGGGCUCAACCUGGGAACUGCAUUUCGAACUGUCAGACUAGAGUC